UACGUAGGGGGCAAGCGUUGUCCGGAAUCAUUGGGCGUAAAGCGCGUGUAGGCGGCCAGAAAAGUCCGCUGUGAAAACUCGAGGCUCAACUUCGAGCUGUCGGUGGAAACUUUCUGGCUAGAGUCCGGAAGAGGAGAAUGGAAUUCCUGGUGUAGCGGUGAAAUGCGCAGAUAUCAGGAGGAACACCGGUGGCGAAGGCGGCUCUCUGGGCUUGUUCUGACGCUGAGGAGCGAAAGCGUGGGGAGCGAACAGG
This 253-nucleotide ribosomal RNA is filed under the name uncultured bacterium. RNAcentral describes it as "partial 16S ribosomal RNA". It matches the Rfam family "Bacterial small subunit ribosomal RNA", at positions 524 to 776 of the family's 1533-position model. The record is from RNAcentral.